Molecule: ribosomal RNA, 253 nt
Filed under: uncultured bacterium
Lineage: Bacteria
Description: partial 16S ribosomal RNA
Rfam family: Bacterial small subunit ribosomal RNA
Source: RNAcentral
UACGUAGGUGGCAAGCGUUGUCCGGAUUUACUGGGCGUAAAGAGCGCGCAGGCGGUCGAUUUAGUCGCGUGUGAAAGCCCCCGGCUCAACUGGGGAGGGUCACGCGAUACUGAUCGACUCGAAGGCAGGAGAGGGUAGUGGAAUUCCCGGUGUAGUGGUGAAAUGCGUAGAUAUCGGGAGGAACACCAGUGGCGAAGGCGGCUCUCUGGGCCCUACCUGACGCUGAGACGCGAAAGCGUGGGGAGCGAACCGG